Molecule: ribosomal RNA, 253 nt
Filed under: uncultured bacterium
Lineage: Bacteria
Description: partial 16S ribosomal RNA
Rfam family: Bacterial small subunit ribosomal RNA
Source: RNAcentral
UACGAAGGGGGCUAGCGUUGCUCGGAAUCACUGGGCGUAAAGGGUGCGUAGGCGGGUCUUUAAGUCAGGGGUGAAAUCCUGGAGCUCAACUCCAGAACUGCCUUUGAUACUGAAGAUCUCGAGUUCGGGAGAGGUGAGUGGAACUGCGAGUGUAGAGGUGAAAUUCGUAGAUAUUCGCAAGAACACCAGUGGCGAAGGCGGCUCACUGGCCCGAUACUGACGCUGAGGCACGAAAGCGUGGGGAGCAAACAGG